AACGUAGGUUCCGAGCGUUAUCCGGAUUUACUGGGCGUAAAGAGCGCGCAGGCGGUCGUUCAAGUCGCGUGUGAAAGCCCCCGGCUCAACUGGGGAGGGUCACGCGAUACUGAUCGACUCGAAGGCAGGAGAGGGUAGUGGAAUUCCCGGUGUAGUGGUGAAAUGCGUAGAUAUCAGUCGGAACACCGGUGGCGAAGGCGGCUUCUUGGGCCUUUACUGACGCUGAGGCGCGAAAGCCAGGGGAGCGAACGGG
Molecule: ribosomal RNA, 253 nt
Filed under: uncultured bacterium
Lineage: Bacteria
Description: partial 16S ribosomal RNA
Rfam family: Bacterial small subunit ribosomal RNA
Source: RNAcentral